GUUUGCUUUUGAUUUCACAAAAACGUCAGAAGUCAUUCUAACUGCGUACUUUUUAUGGAGCAUUUCAACAAUAUGCAGCACACUUCUGAUGCUUCAAACCGAAAUGCUAAAUUCGGGAAAUAUAAAGAAUGUGUUCGCUGUCGUGCGCAUUUUUAUUCUGAUGUUCUGGUCAUUCGCCGCCAAUUUUUUAUUUUGCAAUUCUGGUGAAAGUUUAACAAGAAAAUUCAAUACACUGAACGAUAUUAUUGGUCAAAGCCAAUGGUAUUUAUUGCCUAUGGAUAUUCAACGAUUGCUGCCAAUCAUCGUGAUGACAACUCGAAAAGAAAUCAUUCUUCAAGGAUUUGGCGGCGUUAAAUUGACUAGAGAAACAUUCAAAACGAAUGUCAACCGUGGAUUUUCAUAUUUUACGGUUCUUCGUGAAUAGGAUUACAUAUAUCCCACUUGACCAAAAUAGUGUAUCGAUUUCACUUAAUUCACCGUACGCAAUAAUUUCAUAUUUUGAUGUGUUGAUUAAUGUUGAGUUAAAAUAAAUUAAAAGCGCUUCGCGUAGCAUGCAUUUGAUUUUGGCAUCAUUAAAAUUUCAGUUUUAUAGAUUUCCAUGGAACAACACAUCAAGCAUUGCGUUAGCCGAAC
Long non-coding RNA from Sitodiplosis mosellana (orange wheat blossom midge), 633 nucleotides. RefSeq lists it as uncharacterized. NCBI's taxonomy places the organism in Eukaryota, Metazoa, Arthropoda, Insecta, Diptera, Cecidomyiidae. The record is from RefSeq and is a predicted model, not a curated record. The transcript is spliced from 3 exons.